This 74-nucleotide transfer RNA is filed under the name Fusobacterium sp. Its description in RNAcentral is "tRNA-Lys". It matches the Rfam family "tRNA". From Rfam's summary of the family: Transfer RNA (tRNA) molecules are approximately 80 nucleotides in length. The record is from RNAcentral. Lineage: Bacteria; Fusobacteriati; Fusobacteriota; Fusobacteriia; Fusobacteriales; Fusobacteriaceae. RNAcentral also lists the same sequence under 1 other name.
GCUCCUAUAGCUGAAUUGGUUAAAGCACCUGUCUCUUAAACAGGGGACUCAAGGUUCAAGUCCUUGUGGGAGCA